Molecule: long non-coding RNA, 523 nt
Organism: Canis lupus familiaris (dog)
Lineage: Eukaryota; Metazoa; Chordata; Mammalia; Carnivora; Canidae
Exons: 3
Source: RefSeq, a predicted model, not a curated record
UCGAGGAGACGUGUCGCUUCUAGCAGCGGCUGUGCCUGCGUCCUGGAUCCCUGGUCCUUUCCUUGCCCUGAGGUCUGUCUGUCGGCUUGGCACGGAGACUUCCACAAGCAGGAGAGGACGGGGAAGGGUGCACGUGUGCACGUCACUGAACUUUGACAAGUUGCACCAACACACUGGGAUACGAUUACUACUCAGCGAGGACAUAAGAGAGGCGCAUGGUUUCUCCAAGAAAGGAGAAGCAAAUAGAAAAGAUUUUAUUCAUUUGUUCAAGAGAGACACAGAGAGAGAGAGAGGCACAGACACAGGCAGAGGAAGAAGCAAGCCCCCGGCAGAGAGCCUGAUGCAGGACAUGAUUCCAGGAGCCCGGGAUCACGACCUGAGCCUAAGGCAGAUGCUCAACGACCGAACCACCCACGGCCCCCCGCCCGUAAAUCUCUUCUAAAAAGUAACAAAACCUAUUUAACCUGGGAGGGCAAAUCUUCACCUCGUGUGUCCGUCUGGGCCAGAAGCAGCAGACCUGCAU